GUGGCUUCUUUAAAUUUGAAUGUCGAUUUGGUAAAAUUGUUCCAAGUUUGUAUGAAUUGAAGCCUAGAAAAAAUGUUCCCCUCGCUAUCCGGUGCAACUUUUGAUGUUGUAUUUGGACGUUGGGAAACUACACUU
Molecule: small nucleolar RNA, 135 nt
Filed under: Helianthus annuus (common sunflower)
Lineage: Eukaryota; Viridiplantae; Streptophyta; Magnoliopsida; Asterales; Asteraceae
Description: Small nucleolar RNA snoR136
Rfam family: Small nucleolar RNA snoR136
Source: Rfam by way of RNAcentral